This 436-nucleotide ribosomal RNA is filed under the name uncultured bacterium. Its description in RNAcentral is "bacterial SSU rRNA". It matches the Rfam family "Bacterial small subunit ribosomal RNA", at positions 355 to 786 of the family's 1533-position model. The record is from RNAcentral.
UGGGGAAUAUUGCACAAUGGGCGAGAGCCUGAACCAGCCAAGUCGCGUGAGGGAAGACGGUCCUACGGAUUGUAAACCUCUUUUGUCGGGGAGCAAUAAAGCGUACGCGUACGCAGAUGCGAGUACCCGAAGAAAAAGCAUCGGCUAACUCCGUGCCAGCAGCCGCGGUAAUACGGAGGAUGCGAGCGUUAUCCGGAUUUAUUGGGUUUAAAGGGUGCGCAGGCGGAAAGUGCAAGUCAGCGGUCAAACGACGGGGCUCAACCCCGUCCUCGCCGUUGAAACUGUCAUUUCUAGAGUGAGCGAGAAGUAUGCGGAAUGCGUGGUGUAGCGGUGAAAUGCAUAGAUAUCACGCAGAACUCCGAUUGCGAAGGCAGCAUACCGGCGCUCAACUGACGCUGAAGCACGAAAGCGUGGGUAUCGAACAGGAUUAGAUACC